GACGAACGCUGGAGGCGUGCUUAACACAUGCAAGUCGAACGAUGAAAUGGAGCUUGCUCCAUGGAUUAGUGGCGAACGGGUGAGUAACACGUGAAUAACCUGCCCUUAAUUUUGGAAUAACCCAGGGAAACCUGGGCUAAUACCGGAUAAGUAAACCUGUGGCAUCACAUGGUUUUGGAAAGUUUUUCGAUUAAGGAUGGAUUCGCGGCCUAUCAGCUUGUUGGUGAGGCAAUAGCUCACCAAGGCGACGACGGGUAGCCGGCCUGAGAGGGUGAACGGCCACACUGGGACUGAGACACGGCCCAGACUCCUACGGGAGGCAGCAGUGGGGAAUAUUGCGCAAUGGACGAAAGUCUGACGCAGCGACGCCUCGUGAGGGACGAAGGUCUUCGGAUUGUAAACCUCUUUCAGCAGGGACGAAGCGAAAGUGACGGUACCUGCAGAAGAAGCACCGGCUAACUAUGUGCCAGCCGCCGCGGUAA
This 482-nucleotide ribosomal RNA is filed under the name uncultured bacterium. RNAcentral's name for it is "partial 16S ribosomal RNA". It matches the Rfam family "Bacterial small subunit ribosomal RNA", at positions 28 to 523 of the family's 1533-position model. The record is from RNAcentral.